Molecule: long non-coding RNA, 3585 nt
Filed under: Zea mays
Lineage: Eukaryota; Viridiplantae; Streptophyta; Magnoliopsida; Poales; Poaceae
Description: long non-coding RNA (ZMAY_LNC002533)
Source: RNAcentral
AGUGGAGAAAGUUCAUUGCUCGACGGUUCAUGAAAACAACCAAGAUUUUCACUCUCUGCUCGAUUUCAAGAACAAUAUCACCAAUGAUCCAAAAGGAGUCAUGAACAGUUGGACCAACAACACCCACUUCUGCAGUGGAACAGUGUGAAGUGCACCUUGACGCCACCAUAUGGUGGCACGGAGCUCAACCUCUCCUACAACAACUUAGCUGGCCAAAUCUCCUAUCUUGGAAACCUGACCUAUCUUAAUUUGCUGGCUCUACCAAAUAAUAGAUUUGGUGGCCUAAUCAAAUAUGUACUAGGAUCAAGUCUCACACAUAUGAUGACUCAUGGUACAGAAACGAAUGUCAAAUCUUUAUUAUAUAAUAGAAGUUCUGUACAAAAUAGCUAAAUAAUUACAUUAUACGAAGACAACGAUCCUCCGCAACCAUAGUUGACUGGGAGACAAUGGCCUAGACCUCUCACGAACUCAUCGCGACAUCCUUCAUGGUCCUCAUCUUGGCGGUACGUGUACUUGACCUGGGGGUGUGAGUACAACAAGUGUGAGCUCACAUACGUUCAUCGCUCAACAAGUGUGAGCUCAACAAUUUACGGUGGGGGCUCAUGUGAAGUCUAAGGCUUACAAAAGAAGAUAGUUAAAGCUAAGCAUUGCUUUUGAUCAAAAAUUUUAUUAGCAGUUACUAAGUAUAAGUAGAUACCAACCCAGAUAAAUAAGAGAUCGAAAUUAAUAAUAAAACUCACAAUGCAAUGCAUAUGACAUAUUAAGUUUAAUUCCAUAAGUUAAUCAUGCGAGAGUCCUGAGUUGCUCUUGACCGCGAGCACGACUGAUUACCAGUUUUACACUCUGUAGAGGUUGUACAUCUUUACCCACAAGUCGUGUCAUGUUACCCAUUUGCUAAGGGGUCACGACUUCCCAUUCAUCUCUACCGAGGAGAUGAGGCAUGGUAGCACUACGAGACCUUUCCAAAGUUCCACUAGUUUGAGAAAACCCGCUACGGAUUCAGGAAGAAGGAAGCAUAGGAAUCCCUCGUGCGAAAAGCUUCAUAGACAGUUCGACCCGAGGACCUCUCUAUACUCUAUAGUGACACACUUCCUGCUUGCUCCUUUCGGGUAAGGUAAUCUCUCCCUAUCUUUUCUAAUUACUUGGCCAAGGGCGUCCCAUUCCACCCUUGUGGUAGCACUGUUAUCUCAAGUUAAACUCCAUGUUCUAUAUAACACAAUAAUCUUAUCAUGAACAAUAGUUAAACCAACAAUAUUAAUGGAACAAGAUCGUAAUUCAGAUAUAACAUUAAUCUCAAAACCAGUUAGAGUAACAGCAAGUCUACCCAAUAGUUCAUUUGUUUUGCAAGGUGUGAGGUAAACAAAAUUAGGGUAACCUAUUAGGUCCCAUCAUAUUAACCUGAGCAUGUCACAAUGAUUAACAUGAACAUUAUUAGGUAAAGAAGAGUGGUCAAGAACAUAACUUGCCUGUGACUUGAGAUUCCAAGUACUUCACCAAGUUGGUCUUCAGGUUUCUUGUGACCUCGCUCUGCUUGUAGCAAUUCAUACAAAUAGAUAAGGAGUACAUGAAAAUAACAUUACACCAAACAUGAGAACAAACAACGUAAGAAUAUUCUACGCGUUGCUACGAGAUCGCAGACUUGAGAACCACUAAAACGGAGUUACGGUGGAAAAGAUAUGGUUUUCUCAUGGUUUAGAUGAUUAAACAAUAAAACUAUAUUUUAUUAAUAUAAGUCACAUCAUCGUAUCAUAAAUAAUUGUAUCAUAAAUAAUCACAUCAUGUCUGUCGAUUAAAUUAAAGCAAUAGCAUAAAGCUAACCAUAAAAACCGAAAGGUAAAUAAGGAUAAGGUAAAUAUAGACUAGUCAAUCCUUAGGUUUCAAUAAUGUAAUACGGGACGGUGAAUUAAAAAGUAAGUAGGACAUAAUAGGUCAGAGGACACUUGACUUCACCAAACACAUGUUCAGGGUCUUCAACCUUGGAGAACUCAAAUAGCCUGAUCACUUGGUCAUCGAAGCUUGACUAUCGAUUUCUCGAAGCUCGAGAAUGGAUCGCAUUCUAAUCGCAACACGAAGCGAAGAAUAAUAGGCACAAGAAAACAAACAUAUAUGCAUAAGAACAAUACACCAUACAAAGGAAAACAUUAUAAAACGUGCAAUACGAAAUAGAGCUUGCUACUACGGUCACGCAAGGAAAGGAGACGCGAUAGUCGGAGCUACGGUGGAGAAGUUAGCGCGUUCACACUAAACAAGUAUUAAUUAGAAUAUUUAAUUUGACAUACUUAUAUUAAUUGACCUUUAUCAGAUGUAAGUUAGAACUAUUAUUUAGUUUUGACUAUCUUAUUAUUUUAGUAGCGGACGAUUAAACAAAUCAUUAAUUAGCCGACACGAGUGGUUAUAAGCGAAUGAUUUAAUAUCACGCACGGGCAACACGCUAUACGAGCGAACGAUCCGUGGCAAGGCGAGCAACGCACGAAAACGACGCGCACGACAUACACAGAAAUGGUGCGCGCGACACACACAAACGACGCACGACAACUCGUGGAAACAGCACUCGCGACACACGUGAAUGACAUGCGAUGAUGCGCGCGAAACAUUACGCGCGACAACACGCAUGACAUGCAAGGAUCACUAACAGAUAUCGCGUUUGAACCAAGCGAAUAUUAAAUCAAGGUCAUUUAAGUUGACAUUAAUUAUGUUAACGUUUACUUAUAAUAGCCCGAUUUAAUAAUUAUAAAUUAUUUUCGAUAGAAAAACUAACAUUAAAAUAUUAGCUAAACAAAUAUUUAAUAAAUUAUUUAAAACAUGUGACAUGAUGAAACAGCUUUAUUAAAGUGUAGACAAAGAUAAUACGAGGCUAACAGAACUUGAACAGUACUAAAUAGAUGAUUAAUGCCAAGAGUUAUCGCCUAUUUAAUAAACUAGGGGUCCAUACACAAUUAAACCUAUACUUCAUGGGCUAGCAACUAAAUUUCGCAAGGAUAAGGAAAUAGUAUACUAGCUUCAUAAAAAACAAGGGAUUUUGCGCAAAAGAAAAGAGGUAACUGGUCUACUGCGAUACCAGGAGGGAUCUGAGUGAGCUAGGGUCAAGCCACAUGACGACAUGCAAAGAUGUGGCCGCAGAGGGAUCAAUUGGGAUCUCGUGCGGAGCAUUGGACAUGGCAUGGUGCAAGCUCACUACGGAGGGCACUAUGGCUGGCCGACCAGCUCCCAGGCGGCCACGGCUGGCAGUGGGAAGGAGCAACGAUGACUGGUGCCGACGUGCAGGGGCCUCGACCAUGGAGCCUCGCCGCCGCAAUGGGCUCGGUCAAGGCUGGCCAUGGUGAGCGCAGAGAAGGGCAUGGGAGAGAGAGGGGUAAGUGACGGGCUUCACCUCACAACGAUGAACAAUAGUGAGAGCAUGGAUGACGACACAUGGAGCUUCAGCGGUCGACGCGACGCGAGCUUCGGAUGGGUCGGCGAGGGACGACCGCGAUGGGUGCGCGCCAAGGGAAAAGGACGAGAUGAGGGAGAGAGGGAGGAGAAGGUGGAGUAGUGCAGGCGUGGGGCGCGUUUGGCGGAGGGAGUAGUUUAGGAAUAUGAAUAGUG